This 304-nucleotide ribosomal RNA is filed under the name Mandrillus sphinx (mandrill). RNAcentral's name for it is "partial 12S ribosomal RNA". The record is from RNAcentral. Lineage: Eukaryota; Metazoa; Chordata; Mammalia; Primates; Cercopithecidae.
CCAGAAUACUACAGGACAACAGACUUARAACUCAWAGGAYGUUGGCGGUGCUUUAUAUUCCCCCUARAGGAGCCUGUUUUCAUAAGUCGAUAAACCCCGAUCCACCCUACCCUCUCUUGCUCAGCCUAUAUACCGCCAUCUUCAGCAAACCSUGAUGAAGGCUMCAAAGUGAGCGCAAGUGCCCCCGCCGCAAMAACGUUAGGUCAAGGUGUAGCCCAUGAGACGGUAAAAAAUGGGCUACAUUUUCUACCUCAGAAAACCCUACGAUAUCUCUUAUGAAAUGCUAAGAGUCCAAGGAGGAUUC